Molecule: ribosomal RNA, 343 nt
Filed under: uncultured bacterium
Lineage: Bacteria
Description: bacterial SSU rRNA
Rfam family: Bacterial small subunit ribosomal RNA
Source: RNAcentral
AGGGUUUGAUUAUGGCUCAGGAUGAACGCUGGCGGCGUGCUUAACACAUGCAAGUCGAACGGGAAACCUUUUAUUGAAGCUUCGGCAGAUUUAGAUUGUUUCUAGUGGCGGACGGGUGAGUAACGCGUGGGUAACCUGCCUUAUACAGGGGGAUAACAGUCAGAAAUGACUGCUAAUACCGCAUAAGCGCACAGAGCUGCAUGGCUCGGUGUGAAAAACUCCGGUGGUAUAAGAUGGACCCGCGUUGGAUUAGCUAGUUGGUGAGGUAACGGCCCACCAAGGCGACGAUCCAUAGCCGGCCUGAGAGGGUGAACGGCCACAUUGGGACUGAGACACGGCCCAG